AGCUCGCUAGCUGCUGGAAGCGGUAAAGAAUGGUAACAUUUGCUCCACCCUUAAAUGAGCAUCAGAUUCCUAAUCUGGGGGUCGCGCGUUCGAAUCGCGCCGGGAUCACCA
Molecule: transfer RNA, 111 nt
Filed under: Sinorhizobium sp. 7-81
Lineage: Bacteria; Pseudomonadati; Pseudomonadota; Alphaproteobacteria; Hyphomicrobiales; Rhizobiaceae
Description: tRNA-Arg
Source: RNAcentral